AUUGAAAAAUUAAAGCAGAGAAUCCAAUACCCCCAAUUCACACCGCCCACCUUAUAUACACCCCACCUGAGCAUCGCUCAGAAAUUACACUAAUUUUCAUUCUUGCUUCCCAACUCCAGUUAGCUCAAGCUCCAUGGCUAAUACGGUGGAGUUGAAGGUGAAUUUGCACUGCGACGAAUGCAUUAGGAAAAUCCUGAAAGCCAUCAAGAAAAUUGAAGACAUUGAAACAUACGAUGUUGACAAGAAGCUAAACAAGGUGAUGGUCACUGGGAAGGUGACCAAUGAAGAGGUGGUCAAAGCUCUUCAUAAAAUCGGGAAGCAAGCUAGCAGCUGGGGAGAGGAAUAAACGCAUACCAUAUAUACAUAUAUGUUUAAUCUUUUUUUAAAAUAUAAAUUAGUUUGGUUCUGUUAGAGUAAAUGAUUUUAUUGGAGGUCAUGUAUAUGUAGUACUUUAUUUAAUUUCUGAGUGAAAUUUAAUUACCAAUAUAAUAAGGUUGGGUUUUGAGGAUCGAUUUAGGGCCUUUAAAGACAUGUUAUGUGAAUUGUAAGGUUGACGUUUUAGAGUGAUGACUUUAGGUUGUUGAGGACAAA
Molecule: long non-coding RNA, 591 nt
Organism: Ipomoea nil (Japanese morning glory)
Lineage: Eukaryota; Viridiplantae; Streptophyta; Magnoliopsida; Solanales; Convolvulaceae
Exons: 3
Source: RefSeq, a predicted model, not a curated record